ACGCUCGACACCUACGGGAGGUAGCAGUGGGGAAUAUUGCACAAUGGGGGAAACCCUGAUGCAGCGACGCCGCGUGAGUGAAGAAGUAAUUCGUUAUGUAAAGCUCUAUCAGCAGGGAAGAAAGUGACGGUACCUGAGUAAGAAGCCCCGGCUAACUACGUGCCAGCAGCCGCAGUAAUCUGAGCGGGCUGGCAAGGC
Molecule: ribosomal RNA, 198 nt
Filed under: uncultured bacterium
Lineage: Bacteria
Description: partial 16S ribosomal RNA
Rfam family: Bacterial small subunit ribosomal RNA
Source: RNAcentral